GAAAAUAUUUAUUAAUUGCAAUGGAGCAGAGUCAACCACCGCCAACAACGCCGGUGCCGGCGCCGGCGACACCCAUUUCGCAGCCAGCUGAACCAAUUCCGGCAACAUCUCCAGCUCUGCCACCUCCUUCCUCUGCCCCAAUAAGUCAACUUCCUUCUACAACAACCACUACAUCAGUAGCAUCACAACCACUAAACCUAAACCCUACCACCACCACCACCACCUCAGCUUCUAAAACCACUACUACUACCACUACCAGUUCAGGUACUAAAACCAUCACCACUACCACCACUACCAUCAGCCCUGGCGGUACCAUCACUGCCGCUGCCGUGCAGCAGCAAAACCCUUCAGCAGCCACUUCACAACAAAAUGCUCAAAUAAGACAACCGUUUGGCCGGCCAUGGCAACAGCCUUCACCUUUUCAACACUUUUCGUUACCUCCUCCACCUCCAC
This 453-nucleotide unclassified non-coding RNA is filed under the name Hevea brasiliensis (rubber tree). Lineage: Eukaryota; Viridiplantae; Streptophyta; Magnoliopsida; Malpighiales; Euphorbiaceae. The record is from RNAcentral.